RNAcentral lists this ribosomal RNA (487 nucleotides) under uncultured bacterium. RNAcentral's name for it is "bacterial SSU rRNA". It matches the Rfam family "Bacterial small subunit ribosomal RNA", at positions 23 to 507 of the family's 1533-position model. The record is from RNAcentral.
CUCAGGAUGAACGCUGGCGGCGUGCUUAACACAUGCAAGUCGAACGAAGCACUUUAUUACGAUUUCUUCGGAAUGACGAUUUAGUGACUGAGUGGCGGACGGGUGAGUAACGCGUGGGUAACCUGCCUUAUACAGGGGGAUAACAGUUAGAAAUGACUGCUAAUACCGCAUAAGCGCACAGGAUUGCAUGAUCUGGUGUGAAAAACUCCGGUGGUAUAAGAUGGACCCGCGUCUGAUUAGCUGGUUGGUGAGGUAACGGCCCACCAAGGCGACGAUCAGUAGCCGACCUGAGAGGGUGACCGGCCACAUUGGGACUGAGACACGGCCCAAACUCCUACGGGAGGCAGCAGUGGGGAAUAUUGGUCAAUGGGGGAAACCCUGAUGCAGCGACGCCGCGUGAGCGAAGAAGUAUUUCGGUAUGUAAAGCUCUAUCAGCAGGGAAGAAGAGAUGACGGUACCUGACUAAGAAGCACCGGCUAAAUACGUG